RNAcentral lists this unclassified non-coding RNA (163 nucleotides) under uncultured Roussoella. RNAcentral describes it as "sequence contains ITS1". The record is from RNAcentral. Lineage: Eukaryota; Fungi; Ascomycota; Dothideomycetes; Pleosporales; Thyridariaceae.
CCGAAAUGCAGCGGGUCGAGGCUUGCCUGGGCCCGCGUACAUGCAUUACACCCUUGACUUUGAGAACCGUACGUUUCCUCGGCAGGUUCGCCUGCCAGCGGGGACCCCCAAUAAACCCUUUGCAGCUAAGCAGUGUUUGUCUGAAAUGAUUACACAAAAAUCA